ACUGAAUACUGUAGGCAACUGUAACACAAUGAGGCUGCUGACUGUCCAUCACUGCUAAUUCUCUGCAGAUACUUGGCUGCUUAGCUGAGAUGACAUCUACACUUCCCAGCAUCCCUUGCAGGGGGAAAAGCAGAAGGCAGAGUUACUGGACGGGAAUAAAUGAGGACAACCCGGAACUGCGUGGAGGAACCUGGAGUCAUGGAAGAGAAGUAGCUGCUGAUGGAAACCACACUUAAAGCACAGGGAAAAAAAAGGGAGAAAUACUCGCCUUUUUGCCUUAUUCUGCCUUCCAAGCUCCAGCCAGUUCUUAAUAGGGGCCAUAUGCUGCCAAGAUUUAGCUGACAAGGUAGCCUGGGAAACACUACCUGCAGGGGUGAAGACCUGCCAUACACAUAGAGCAAGGGAAUCACGAAGAAUGGAUCAGGAAGCACAAGGCCAUGCACUAUGUAGGCAUACAAUAGUUGUCUCACACUGAGCAAAUGCAAAACCUACCUGCUGAUGUUUAUCCAUGAUCCUACUUCGCUCACAAUUAGUGCGUCUCAGUGGAAACAUCAUCUUUUUUUUUUUUCACUUUUU
Homo sapiens (human) is the source of this 576-nucleotide long non-coding RNA. RefSeq lists it as uncharacterized. The record is from RefSeq and is a predicted model, not a curated record. The transcript has 3 exons. NCBI's taxonomy places the organism in Eukaryota, Metazoa, Chordata, Mammalia, Primates, Hominidae.